UGGGGAAUUUUGCACAAUGGGGGAAACCCUGAUGCAGCGACGCCGCGUGAUUUAGAAGGCCUUCGGGUUGUAAAAAUCUUUUCUAUGGGAAGAAAAUGACAGUACCAUAGGAAUAAGGACCGGCUAAUUACGUGCCAGCAGCCGCGGUAAUACGUAAGGUCCGAGCGUUGUCCGGAAUCAUUGGGCGUAAAGGGUACGUAGGCGGGUAAGCAAGUUAGAAGUGAAAUCCUAUAGCUGAACUAUAGUAAGCUUUUAAAACUGCUCAUCUUGAGGUAUGGAAGGGAAAGUGGAAUUCCUAGUGUAGCGGUGAAAUGCGCAGAUAUUAGGAGGAAUACCGGUGGCGAAGGCGACUUUCUGGCCAUAACCUGACGCUGAGGUACGAAAGCGUGGGUAGCAAACAGG
This 402-nucleotide ribosomal RNA is filed under the name bacterium. RNAcentral's name for it is "partial 16S ribosomal RNA". It matches the Rfam family "Bacterial small subunit ribosomal RNA", at positions 355 to 776 of the family's 1533-position model. The record is from RNAcentral.